This is a long non-coding RNA of Odocoileus virginianus texanus, 714 nucleotides long. RefSeq lists it as uncharacterized. The record is from RefSeq and is a predicted model, not a curated record. Lineage: Eukaryota; Metazoa; Chordata; Mammalia; Artiodactyla; Cervidae.
AAAGAACUCCUGGCUUUACAGGAAAGAUGCUGAACAUCCAUUAGAAAAUUAGCCACAGAGAAAAUGUUUGCUGAUCACUGGACUUCCUGUUAAAUAAUAAUCUUGAAGACACACAUGGAGCUGAGUGUACUGAGAAGCAUCUAGACCAAGCAUCCCUUUAUCCAGGGAAGGAGGACUCGGGUCCAGACUCUGAGAAAUAUCAACUCAAAGAAAUAUCAACCUUCAGAGGUGUCCAUGCAGACUCUGAGAGUCCAUCCAGGGGCCUGUGAAGGGGGUGCCUGGAGAUGCAGGAGUCCGUUCCUCAAUCUCAGCCAAGCCUCUUCCCUAGUCAGCCGAUCUCUGAAUAUCAUUCAUUUGUGUCUGUUUAGAGUGAGGGGGAGCACAGUCGCUGGAGAUGGAAGUGUCAUUUGCAAAAUAAUAAUAGCAUCCCAGCUGAUGAGAGGCAAACACCCCUGGGCCCUCUUGAAUGCAGACUCUGUUUUCCUAAUUGGAUCUCAUCAAAGCUUUCUCGUUGCCUUCAGCUGGUGGAGGCCCAUCGUGAUGUGGAGGGAGGGGACAGCCGCCAGUAGGUGAGCAGCUGGUGGCCGUGCCUGGGUGGUGACCAUGUGAGCCCCGUUUACCCCAAGUAGAGCCCACGCAGAGCAGCGAGUCUCAGGCUGAGACCCGGCCCCAGCUACCCAACCUCUGUCAGGACCCUGUCCACACUCUCUAAGC